GAACACUUGGUGCAGGAAUCUUCUAAUUUUUUUUUGUUUUUGCAGUCUCUCCACCUACAAUAUACCAACUGGAAUUUCCCUUAUUUGAAAGAAAAUCUUCAGGGUAAAGAAGACAUUUACAAUGACACAAAAAGAUUCCAAAGGUAUCAUGGUCCUAAAGGGCUUUCCCCAAGGGACAGCACAGUGUGUUCCAGGCCCUGAUGAGAGUUUUCAGUGGUCUUUGCCUGAAGCAACCUUCUCCAGAGGGCUCUCUGGCAUGCUGCUCUUGGAAGAUACUCCUCUCACCAAGGCUGGAUUAUCUACUGCCACAGCUGAUUGUCCAACAUGCCAAGAACAGAAACUAAGGCUGCUCCUCGAUAUGGUAACAUCACUUAAGGAGAUUCAGCAGUCACUUGGUGACGAGUUGAUUAUAUCAAAAUCCUUGCAUCUUCAAAGGGGAAAAAAAUGUUUUAGCUCAACAGAGAGGGACAUGUGUUCUAGAUGUGGGUUUGCCUUCUCUGCCACACUGCCUUAGCCAGGACCAUUCCUUGGGGGUUCUGAUCUAUUGGCAUGAUAUCCCUCAUAAUACUGCCUCAGAGCAAGGCACCUGCUUAAAACAAAGGAGGGAUGACAGUGGGUAUAUGACAGUGGGUCCUACACAUAUGGCACCAUCCAGAAGCUAUCAGCAUUGGAAUGGCCUCUUGAAGAGGCAGCUAAGACUUCUGCUUAGAGAUGACCCUGUGAUGAUGGGGUGCCAGUGUUUAGGAUGUGCUAUAUAUCUUAAACCAAUUACCAUCAUAUGGUGCCCUGUUCCCGAAAGGAAGAAUACACAGAUCUGAGAACCAAGAUAUGGAAGGGGUGGCCCCACUGACAAUCACUCCCAGGGACCUACAUGAGGAAUCUGUGCUUCCCAUAACCAUAACUUUAGGUUAUGUGGGUCUAGAAGUCCCAAGUUCUGGAGAGAGACUCAAUCAGGCAAUACAGGAAGAGUUCCACUGAACUUACAGCCAAGGCUGCUGCCUGAGUCCUUUGGGCUGCCUCUGCCAGUAGAGCAGCAGGUGCAGAAGGGAAUGAUGAUACCUGCUUGAAUAAUUAAACCUGCUUAUUAUGAGGAGGUAGGACUGCAGUGACCUAAUGGAGGUGGGAAGAAAUAUGUUGGGCACUCAUGGUCAACUGGGUCACUCAGGCUUUCACUAGAAAUUGUCAAGUAGAGCAAAUGAGGCCUAACAAGAAAAUAAUACAGAGAAACUCACACCUACCCCACCCCAUACAAACCACUUAGACUAGCAGAAGUUUGGCCAAGAGAUAAGGAGAAUGUAGAAGGAAUGGAGUCAUGAGAGUCAGCUACGGCCCCAGGACCAACUGUAGCAGCCACUAACCAUGAAUCUUAAGCUUUGCUGUAAAAUGUGACAAUCAAAGCUGAAAGAAAUUGUGCCAGGAUGAAGGGAACUUAGUGUGAAAGGCAAGGAGCUCUGAACAGGGACCAGGGGGGAAAUGCAGUCUGAGUCCCACCACAUCCAUUUUACCAGACUGAUGUUCCCUCCCCAGCUGCUGUGUGUGUUGGCUGCUUCCUGCUCAUGGCACCUCUUUUCUCCAGAAAAUUGCCUUACCAUGAAAUAAUGCAUCCCCCUUCCUCAGGGGCUGGGGAACCACAGCCAGUGUUGGGGAAUAAACAGACAUAGGAAUAAAGCCUUUUCCUCAGAGUGGGGCAACUCUGUGGUGCUGUUUGUGAUCCAGAGCUCCUCUUGAGGCCAGGCUGAAACUGGACUCCAGUUGAACCCACUUCCUUGGCUGGCUUCUUGCCCCUCUCUUAGUCUGCUGACCUCACUCUCUGUCUCCUGAGAACAUUUUGUCCAACAUUCAUCUUCUCAAGAUUCCCCCUUUGGGGCUCUGUUUUUAGCAAACCUGAUCUAAGAUACUGUCUGUUUGGGGCUAAAUUGUGUCCCCCAAAAAGAUAUGUCCAAGUACCAACCCCUGUGAACUUAUUUGGAAAUAGGGUCUUUUUUAAUGUAAUCAAGUUAAAAUGAGGCCAUAUUGGCUUGGGAUAGUUCCUAAUCCAACAACUUGUGUCCUUGCAGGAGGAAGAAUACAGAUAGACCCACACAGAGGGAAGACUAUCAUGUUACAAUGGGAGCUGAGAUUAGAGUUGUGCUGCCAUAAAAGGGACCAUUGUGGAUUGCCAGCAACCACCAGAAGCUAGGGAGAAGCAAGGAUGCAUUCUUCCCUAGAACCUUCAGAGAGAGCAUGGCCCUACCAACAUGUGGAUAUUGGAUUUCUAACCUCCCAGUUUUAAGCCACUCAUUUAAGACAUUUUUGUUGUGCCAGCAAUGGGAGCCAAAUACAUUGUCAUUGGAGGCCCAACUUAAAUUUCAUUUCCUCUGUGAAACUCUCUCCCUGCUGAGUCCUGCACUGUUGACACCAGAAUCUCCACCAUAGCACCAGAAGCACACAUUUUCCCCUCCAUUCACUGCCUCUUACCACUUGCAGCCUGGUAAUACAUCUUCACUGUUUGUAGGUGCUAGACUAUAAGCUCUUGGAGAGCAAAGACCAGAGAUGAUACUUAUGCGACUUUCCCAGUUUAAGGAGUCUCUUUAGUUAGUACUAUGUUUGUGAUAGAAAACUAUAAAGAUAUUUUAUUGUGCAUUCCUAUUUUAGCAAACACUCCCCAUGAAUAAGAGAUAGAAAAAAAAAAUGAGAAUCAUUCAAAAUAAACAGUUUUUCUGUCU
Molecule: long non-coding RNA, 2705 nt
Filed under: Aotus nancymaae (Ma's night monkey)
Lineage: Eukaryota; Metazoa; Chordata; Mammalia; Primates; Aotidae
Description: lncRNA (ENSANAG00000039034.1)
Source: RNAcentral